Molecule: long non-coding RNA, 121 nt
Organism: Neltuma alba
Lineage: Eukaryota; Viridiplantae; Streptophyta; Magnoliopsida; Fabales; Fabaceae
Exons: 3
Source: RefSeq, a predicted model, not a curated record
CUCCAAGAAAUGUAUUUGCGGGGCACAGCCUUGGAAGGCCCCAUUCCCACAAUCAUAUCUCACUUAACAAAUCUGAAUGAUCUGAGAAUAUCUGAUUUGCAUGGACCAGUGAUAAUGAGAU